RNAcentral lists this ribosomal RNA (469 nucleotides) under uncultured bacterium. RNAcentral's name for it is "partial 16S ribosomal RNA". It matches the Rfam family "Bacterial small subunit ribosomal RNA", at positions 28 to 507 of the family's 1533-position model. The record is from RNAcentral.
GACGAACGCUGGCGGCGUGCUUAACACAUGCAAGUCGAACGGAAAGGCCCUGCUUGCAGGGUGCUCGAGUGGCGAACGGGUGAGUAACACGUGGGUGAUCUGCCCCUUACUUUGGGAUAAGCCUGGGAAACUGGGUCUAAUACUGGAUAGGACCAUGCUGUAGGUGGUGUGGUGGAAAGAUUUUUUCGGCGGUGUUGGAUGGACUCGCGGCUUAUCAGCUUGUUGGUGGGGUAGUGGCUUACCAAGGCUUUGACGGGUAGCCGGCCUGAGAGGGCGACCGGCCACAUUGGGACUGAGAUACGGCCCAGACUCCUACGGGAGGCAGCAGUGGGGAAUAUUGCACAAUGGGCGGAAGCCUGAUGCAGCAACGCCGCGUGCGGGAUGACGGCCUUCGGGUUGUAAACCGCUUUCAGCAGGGGCGAAGCUUGUGGUGACGGUACCUGCAGAAGAAGCACCGGCUAACUACGUG